Molecule: long non-coding RNA, 1006 nt
Organism: Electrophorus electricus (electric eel)
Lineage: Eukaryota; Metazoa; Chordata; Actinopteri; Gymnotiformes; Gymnotidae
Source: RefSeq, a predicted model, not a curated record
GGUCAUGCUUUCACACAAGGGAUUAUUGCAGGCUUUUCCACAUGGCAAAUACUGUCUUGCUGAGAGGAGAGACCAUGAACAUUUCUUGGGAAUUACCCAUUAAGCAUGAACUUUAAAGAGGAUUUUGCAGCAUCCCCCUUAGUAAGGACCUAAUGAAUCUUUAUUAUGUGACAAGGAAACACCCCCAGUGAAGCAUUGGCCUGAGUUAAUAUUUUCUUCCUCUUACAAAGAAACAUCUGUUUUCUCUUCUGACUUUUGGAUUUUCACAUGCCGCUGGACAGCUGCUGGGACAGGUGUACAAACACAUCAGAACAAGAGUCAGUAAGCAACAUAUUGAUCUUCCAUACUGGACAAACAUGUUCACAUGCUUUGUUCAGCUAAAGCCAAAUUCAUUACAUCAGACCAAGAAACUCUGGUGCAAACAUAAAUAUGCACUCAAAAUUAGACAAAUGUUUUGUGAUUAAUUUAUGGUUGGGUAUGUCCAGCAAACUUAUGUUCUCCUUUAAAAUAAAUAGUUAUGGUCAUAGGUCAUAGAAGGAAAUAGAACACAACUUGAAAUUAUUGUCAAAGCUUAAAAUGUUCCUACAAGUCACCUUCUUUUGCCAUGUGUCUUUAUGGUUACUUAUGGUGUGUUCUUCCUACAUCUUAUGGGGAUAUAAUGAUACACAGUUAUUAUAGACUAUAUUAAUCUUUCCAUUUUUCAGGGGUCCAGUUUUAUAUUGUUCAUACUAGUUUAUGCAUUAUUUUGAUUUGGCCUUGAACACAUGCAGAUUCUGGACGGACCCUGCCCUUAUUUCCCCUUAUUUCUUGUUUUGUUGAGCAAUAUAAGUGCCGAUUCACAUGUGGAUAUUUUUUGUGGUUAUUUCUGUUUCAGUGUGAUGAGACAUCCUGUUAAGUGAUUGCUGUCACAAGUUAUGUUUAAUCAUAAUUGGAAGUUGCUUUGGAUAAAAGCAUCAGCUAAAUGUAGUUCCAUGCUGUAGUUGCAUUUUCUCCACCCCUCGUUUGA